Long non-coding RNA from Peromyscus californicus insignis, 895 nucleotides. RefSeq lists it as uncharacterized. The record is from RefSeq and is a predicted model, not a curated record. The transcript has 4 exons. Lineage: Eukaryota; Metazoa; Chordata; Mammalia; Rodentia; Cricetidae.
UUGAUAUGCACCUGGCCCAGGAAUGGGUUUCACCUUCCUUCCUAACUGCUUUGUCUGUUUGCUUCUUUAGGUCCUAGUGGGCCAAAGUGGCUUCUGUUCCAACACGUUCCUGUAGAGUGCGAGACCCGCAGCUUCAGCCUGGAAGCCGGUGACGGAGAUGUGGCCGCACCAACCAUCUGGAGCGACCCCCAACUCCUGUGACGCCGGGCUGGAGAGGCGCUCGUGGUGCCCAGAGGAGGAAUGAGCAGGGCUUGUGCCUGGGCUUGUCUGGGCUUGUUCAGAGCGGGGCUGCUCCCCCCUGUGAUCGCACAGAUUGGGGGCUUUUGGAGACGUUGCCAGAGUUUGGAAGCCAAGGCCAGGGCUACAGGGGCCCAGAGGCUGCGCACCUGUUCGCCACGGAGCUCAGGGUUUCUCACUGAACCUGGAGCUAGCCUGUCAGCCAGCAAAGGCCCAGGAGCUUCCUGUCUCCAUCCCCAACAAGGCGAGGACUGGAGUGCUGGGGAUGAAACCCAAGGUCUCAAGCCAAGCCAGGGCUCCACCAGCUGAACUACUGCCCUAGCCCAGUCACUAGAUCUUAAGGCAGCCUGGAGGUUAUGGUCAGUUUUCUGUGUAACCGGAGGCUGGAGUCCAAGGCGAUCCACCCCAACAUCGGCCUGGGUGUUGCUGUGGAAGACUCCAGGUUCCUGAGUCACUCACUACCUUAAAGUAAGGGUAUCCUCACCUUAGAUUGCGGGCGGGCUUCAUCUAAUCAUUUAAGGAGUAUAUGAGGUUUCCCUGGAGAGGAAUCACUUCCCGUUGACCUCAGUGUCAACUCUUCAGGCCUAAUCAGCCCCCUGGUUAUUUGGGUUUGGUUGGGGGAAGGUUGCUGUUGUUUUACAUUUCUUUGUUUGUUUGA